GUGUGUAUCUGGUGAGGGCUAGGGGCUGGGGAGACCCUGCAAAGAAAGCUCUGGGUCCGGAUCUGGAAACGGGCGCACCUCCUAAAUUGAGUCCUCAAAACGUUUAGGACACGAUCGUUCCGCCCCUGGGAGCGGUUCUUGGGCGGGCUGGGGCGUUCCUGCAAGAGGAACCCGGAGCUCGGGAAACCUAGUAGUAAGAAAAAGCAACCAAGGAUAUUAUUUUGGUAUCUGGAGUUGAAUUUGCCAGGAAUGCAAGCACAGCUUCCUCAGUAAAGACUUGGUUUUGGAAACAUCUCACUCCUUGGCGGCUCUCCAGAGUUCAGACUUGGCAGCAUCGAGGACACAACGCAAGGCUGUUUGCCCAAAAUGGGUUGAUAGGGAAGCUUGGGAACCCAAGACAUCGACACUUCAUAUGAAAGUAUUUCCAUGAUCACUGCAGCAGUGGGAAGACUGGCUUUUUAUGUGUUGACUUUUAGAGUCUGAUUGGUCAAAGCAAAUUGCUUAAUUUCAAAUGGGAAACUGUGAAAUACAAUAUUGCCUUCUACUCAGAGGGGAAGGAAAAUUAGAUUAAAGUCAAAUUAAUGAUUGUCAUACCCUUCUUCUCUUUUUAGGAAGAGUAUAACAUAUCCUAAUAAAGAAUAUUUCAAAGCAUUUUCAGAGAAAGGAAGAGCAUGAGCAAAGACAGUAAGGUAUUAUGUAGGAUAAUAAUUUCAGCAAACUGUGUUUAAUUCGAAAUAGUUGGAUCACAGUAUGUGUGUGGGAUAAAGACAGGUUAAAAAGAUUGGAGACAAUAUAGGUCAGAUUAUACCAAAAUAUGAAGUAAGAAUUACAUCUUAAAGGAUAUGGAGAAAUAUUCAAUGACAACAUACUUUAGGGGAAUGAAGUAAAUUCAAAUCAUAAAAGGUUGUCCUGUUAAGUGCCAUGGGGAUAGAUUUGUGGGAAAGAAGACUGAAGAUAGUAAAAAUCAAUUGUGAUACAAAGUCAGUAUUUCAAGUGAGUUCCCAGGUGGAGGCACUGACAGGGCAUAUAGAAGGCACGUUUUGGAGGUAAUCUCUUGUGCACAGGGGAAGCCUUGGCAAAAGACAGAAUACUUCUUACCCUGAAAUCAAAGUAGAAGUACUGAUGCAAACAGGGUUCAAGCUAGGGCUAUGUGUAGAUUUGUGUGUUGGUGUCUGUGAGAGGCUUAGAGCAAGCUUGCAAAUUGACUGACUCUUACCUGAUGAUCUGUAUUUUCUUUCUGAGUUAGGAAAUGAACCCAAGUGCCCAGACUAAAAUGAAUAUGAAUGUGGGCUUUGAGGAGGUCUGUAUGAAUUGAGAUGGCUGGAGUCAAGUGGGAGACAUAGCAGAUUUGGGGCACAGGGAUUGCUGGAAAUUUUUAGCAUUUAUAAAAUACUGACUACACAUUUUACUGCAAAAGUUGCUUUGGGAAACUCAGUUGCUUUUUUCUUUAAAUUGUUUAUAACUCAGCAAUGAUUUGAAAAUAUAUACCUUAGGUAUAGAUUUAACAGGUAUGUAGAAUUUUGAAAAAAACAAUGUGCAUGUGGUUUUUAUUAGGGGAGCCCUGGAUAAAAUUUUGGGUUAGUGUAAUAAGAAAACCCCAAUCAUUUCAUCAUAGGGGAAAAAUUUUAAAACUAUUUAAGUAAUUAUCUAAUACUUUAAUGCAGAUUUUUUGUACUAGCUGUUUUUUAAGGACUUUUUUAGAGCAAUUUAAGUUCAGAGCAAAACGAAGAGGAAGGUAUAGCAAUAUCCCAUAUAACUCAUAUCCCAAUACAUGCAUACUUUGCUUAUUAGCAACAUUCCCUAUCAGAGUCAUAUUUGUUACAGCUGAUGAACCUGCAUUGAUACAGCAGCACCCAAAAUCAAUAGCUUGGUUUGCUUUUGCUCUUGUACAUUCUUUUUGGACAAAUGUAUAAUGACAUGUAUCUACCAUUGUAGUAUUAUACAGAGGGAAACUUCUGUGUUCUGCCUAUGAUUUCUGGUUCAUAUGGUAAGAGUAUGGUUAUUUUUGUAAGAAAAUGCCAAAUUACCUUCAAAAUGGCUAUGUUGGUUUGCAUUCCCACCAGCAAAGAAUUAGAGUUUCCU
This is a long non-coding RNA of Sciurus carolinensis (gray squirrel), 2082 nucleotides long. RefSeq lists it as uncharacterized. Lineage: Eukaryota; Metazoa; Chordata; Mammalia; Rodentia; Sciuridae. The record is from RefSeq and is a predicted model, not a curated record. The transcript has 3 exons.